RNAcentral lists this ribosomal RNA (402 nucleotides) under Gavrana sp. BFS-2018. RNAcentral's name for it is "partial 16S large subunit ribosomal RNA". Lineage: Eukaryota; Metazoa; Arthropoda; Insecta; Hymenoptera; Ichneumonidae. The record is from RNAcentral.
UAAUUUUAAAUAGCUGCGGUAAUUUAACCGUACAAAGGUAGCAAAAUCAAUAGUUUUUUAAUUGGAAGCUGGAAUGAAUGAUUUGAUGAAAUAAAUAUUGUCUCAAAAUUAAUAAAAUUUGAAUUUUUUUUUUAGUAAAAAUACUAAAUUAUAUUUAAAAGACGAUAAGACCCUAUAGAUUUUUAUAAUUAUAUUUUAUAAAAAAAUUAUUUAAUAUAAUUAUUUGGUUGGGGAAAUUAUUAAAUAUAAAAAAUUUUAAUUUUAAAAAACAAUAAUUAUUGAUUAAUUGAUCUUAAUUUUUAGAAAAAUAGAAUAAAAUACCUUAGGGAUAACAGCGUAAUUUUUUUARAGAGACCAUAUUAAUAAAAAAGUUUGCGACCUCGAUGUUGAAUUAARAUAAAA